UCCCUAGUGACUCAGAGGGUAGAGCACAUGCCUGCAAUGCAGGAGACCUGGGUUUGAUCCCCAGGUCGGGAA
Molecule: transfer RNA, 72 nt
Filed under: Ovis aries (sheep)
Lineage: Eukaryota; Metazoa; Chordata; Mammalia; Artiodactyla; Bovidae
Rfam family: tRNA
About the family: Transfer RNA (tRNA) molecules are approximately 80 nucleotides in length.
Source: Rfam by way of RNAcentral